CAGCAGCCGCGGUAAUACCGGCGGCCCGAGUGGCGGUCACUAUUAAUGGGCUUAAAGCGUCCGUAGCCGGGUUGGGAAAUCCUCCGGGAAAUCUGGCCGCUUAACGGUCAGAAUGCCGGAGGAUACUCCCAGCCUAGGGAGCGGGAGAGGCCGAGGGGAUUCCCGGAGUAGGGGUGAAAUCCUAUAAUCCCGGGAGGACCACCUGUGGCGAAGGCGCUCGGCUGGAACGCGUCCGACGGUGAGGGACGAAGGCCAGGGGAGCAAACCGGAUUAGAUACCCGGGUAGUCCUGGCUGUAGACGAUGCGGACUUUGUGUCGGACAAGCUAUGAGCUUGUCCGGUGCCGGAGGGAAACCGUUAAGUCCGCCGCCUGGGGAGUACGGCCGCAAGGCUGAAACUUAAAGGAAUUGGCGGG
Molecule: ribosomal RNA, 414 nt
Filed under: uncultured microorganism
Description: bacterial SSU rRNA
Rfam family: Archaeal small subunit ribosomal RNA
Source: RNAcentral